This 439-nucleotide ribosomal RNA is filed under the name uncultured bacterium. RNAcentral's name for it is "partial 16S ribosomal RNA". It matches the Rfam family "Bacterial small subunit ribosomal RNA", at positions 339 to 795 of the family's 1533-position model. The record is from RNAcentral.
CUACGGGGGGCUCCAGUGGGGGAUAUUGCACAAUGGGCGAAAGCCUGAUGCAGCAACGCCGCGUGAAGGAAGACGGUUUUCGGAUUGUAAACUUCUAUCAGCAGGGAAGAAAAUGACUGUACCUGACUAAGAAGCCCCGGCUAACUACGUGCCAGCAGCCGCGGUAAUACGUAGGGGGCAAGCGUUAUCCGGAAUUACUGGGUGUAAAGGGUACGUAGGCGGCUGAUCAAGUCAGAUGUGAAAGCCCGGAGCUCAACUCCGGGACUGCAUUUGAAACUGGUCGGCUAGAGUGCAGGAGAGGAAAGUGGAAUUCCUAGUGUAGCGGUGAAAUGCGUAGAUAUUAGGAAGAACACCAGUGGCGAAGGCGGCUUUCUGGACUGUAACUGACGCUGAGGUACGAAAGCGUGGGGAGCGAACAGGAUUAGAUACCCCAGUAGUC